Molecule: transfer RNA, 68 nt
Filed under: Trachytettix bufo
Lineage: Eukaryota; Metazoa; Arthropoda; Insecta; Orthoptera; Tetrigidae
Description: tRNA-Met
Source: RNAcentral
AAAAAGGUAAGCUAAUAAAGCUAACGGGUUCAUACCCCGUGUAUAAUAGUAAAAUCUAUUCCUUCUUA